GGAGUAUAGCUCAGCUGGGAGAGCACCUGCCUUACAAGCAGGGGGUCACAGGUUCGAGCCCUGUUGUUCCC
Molecule: transfer RNA, 71 nt
Filed under: uncultured Eubacterium sp.
Lineage: Bacteria; Bacillati; Bacillota; Clostridia; Eubacteriales; Eubacteriaceae
Also listed under: 2 other names
Rfam family: tRNA
About the family: Transfer RNA (tRNA) molecules are approximately 80 nucleotides in length. Their secondary structure includes four short double-helical elements and three loops (D, anti-codon, and T loops). Further hydrogen bonds mediate the characteristic L-shaped molecular structure. tRNAs have two regions of fundamental functional importance: the anti-codon, which is responsible for specific mRNA codon recognition, and the 3' end, to which the tRNAs corresponding amino acid is attached (by aminoacyl-tRNA synthetases). tRNAs cope with the degeneracy of the genetic code in two manners: having more than one tRNA (with a specific anti-codon) for a particular amino acid; and 'wobble' base-pairing, i.e. permitting non-standard base-pairing at the 3rd anti-codon position.
Source: RNAcentral